AGAGUUUGAUCCUGGCUCAGGAUGAACGCUAGCGGCAGGCUUAACACAUGCAAGUCGAGGGGCAGCAUGUCCAGCAAUGGAUGAUGGCGACCGGCGGAAGGGUGCGUAACGCGUGAGCAACAUGCCCUAUACAGGGAGAUACACCAGGGAAACUUGGUCUAAUAUCCCAUAGCAUUCAUUGAAGGCAUCUUUAAUGAAUUAAAGCUUCGGUGGUAUAGGAUUGGCUCGCGUGACAUUAGCCAGAUGGUGAGGUAACGGCUCACCAUAGCAAUGAUGUCUAGGGGUUUUGAGAGGAAGGCCCCCCACACUGGGACUGAGACACGGCCCAGACUCCUACGGGAGGCAGCAGUGAGGAAUAUUGGACAAUGGAUGGAAAUCUGAUCCAGCCAUGCCGCGUGCAGGAAGACGGCCUUAUGGGUUGUAAACUGCUUUUAUACGGGAGCAAUAAGGGUUACGAGUAAUCCGAUGAGAGUACUGUAUGAAUAAGGAUCGGCUAACUCCGUGCCAGCAGCCGCGGUAAUACGGAGGAUCCGAGCGUUAUCCGGAAUUAUUGGGUUUAAAGGGUGCGUAGGCGGCCAUUUAAGUCAGCGGUGAAAUUUUGCAGCUUAACUGUAACAGCGCCGUUGAUACUGUUUGGCUAGGAUUUGGUUGUAGUGUGCGGAAUGUGUGGUGUAGCGGUGAAAUGCUUAGAUAUCACACAGAACACCGAUUGCGAAGGCAGCGCACUAAGUCAUUAUUGACGCUGAGGCACGAAAGUGUGGGGAUCAAACAGGAUUAGAUACCCUGGUAGUCCACGCUGUA
Molecule: ribosomal RNA, 801 nt
Filed under: uncultured bacterium
Lineage: Bacteria
Description: bacterial SSU rRNA
Rfam family: Bacterial small subunit ribosomal RNA
Source: RNAcentral